UAAGGAAUAUUGGACAAUGGAGGCAACUCUGAUCCAGCCAUGCCGCGUGCAGGAAGACGGCCUUAUGGGUUGUAAACUGCUUUUAUACAGGAAGAAACCUGCUCACGUGUGAGCAGCUGACGGUACUGUAAGAAUAAGGAUCGGCUAACUCCGUGCCAGCAGCCGCGGUAAUACGGAGGAUCCAAGCGUUAUCCGGAAUUAUUGGGUUUAAAGGGUCCGCAGGCUGUUUGUUAAGUCAGAGGUGAAAUCCUACCGCUCAACGGUAGAACUGCCUUUGAUACUGACAAACUUGAGUUAUUGUGAAGUAAUUAGAAUGUGUAGUGUAGCGGUGAAAUGCAUAGAUAUUACACAGAAUACCGAUUGCGAAAGCAGAUUACUAACAAUAUACUGACGCUGAGGGACGAAAGCGUAGGUAGCGAACAGG
RNAcentral lists this ribosomal RNA (424 nucleotides) under uncultured bacterium. RNAcentral's name for it is "bacterial SSU rRNA". It matches the Rfam family "Bacterial small subunit ribosomal RNA", at positions 355 to 776 of the family's 1533-position model. The record is from RNAcentral.